UACAGAGGUCUUAAGCGUUGUUCGGAUUCAUUGGGCGUAAAGGGUGCGUAGGCGGCGCGGUAAGUCGGGUGUGAAAUCUCGGGGCUUAACUCCGAAACUGCAUUCGAUACUGCCGUGCUUGAGGACUGGAGAGGAGACUGGAAUUUACGGUGUAGCGGUGAAAUGCGUAGAUAUCGUAAGGAAGACCAGUGGCGAAGGCGGGUCUCUGGACAGUUCCUGACGCUGAGGCACGAAGGCCAGGGGAGCAAACGGG
This 253-nucleotide ribosomal RNA is filed under the name uncultured bacterium. RNAcentral's name for it is "partial 16S ribosomal RNA". It matches the Rfam family "Bacterial small subunit ribosomal RNA", at positions 524 to 776 of the family's 1533-position model. The record is from RNAcentral.